UUUAAUCAUUGUUUAUCAAAGAUUCUAUAAAAAUGAAACAAUGAAAAAGUCAAGAAGCAUGUUUGUUAUCUUUCUAAGUGGAGUUAAAAGUAAACAAUAUACAUUUGAGGCUACAUGUAAUACGACAAUACGAAACAACUGGUACAAAAAUCUCCUUCAUGAUCCAAUAUCUACAGUGAGUUGAGUAUCUUGAUCUGAUGGUGUGUGUGUGUGUGUGGGGGGUGUGUGUGUGUGGGUAUCCUGAUGAAGACCAAUCAUCAGCAAAGUGGGUGGAGGGUUUAUGGUUUUGAUACACAUAAAGUGACACUUUACAUCCAGGUAACCAGAUAGGCGGGUAACCAGACAGGCAGGUAACCAGACAGGCAGGUCAGACAGGUAGGUAACCAGACAGGCAGGUAACCAAACAGGUAGGUAACCAGACAGGCAGGUAACCAGACAGCCAGGUAACCAGACAGCCAGGUAACCAGACAGGCAGGUAACCAGACAGGCAGGUAACCAGACAGGCAGGUAACCAGACAGGCAGGUCACCAGACAGGCAGGUCACCAGACAGGCAGGUCACCAGACAGGCAGGUAACCAGACAGGCAGGUAACCAGACAGGCAGGUCACCAGACAGGCAGGUAACCAGACAGGCAGGUAACCAGACAGGCAGGUAACCAGACAGGCAGGUAACCAGACAGGCAGGUAACCAGACAGGUAGGUAACCAGACAGGUAGGUAACCAGACAGGCAGGUAACCAGACAGGCAGGUAACCAGACAGGCAGGUAACCCGUUAUUGCUGUAUAUCUACAACAAAACAUAUCAUAGACAAAUAUACUGAAUCGUGUCAAAAUAAAAUUACCAAUCAUAAUUUGGUUUACUUUUCGCUCAGCCAAAUCUAUCUUCUAAACAGCACCCUGUACCCCAUUCCCAAACAGCACCCUGUUCCUCAGUCCCAAACAGCACCCUGUUCCCCAUUCCCAAACAGCACCCUGUUCCCCAUUCCCAAACAGCACCCUGUUCCUCAGUCCCAAACAGCACCCUGUUCCCCAUUCCCAAACAGCACCCUGUUCCCCAUUCCCAAACAGCACCCUGUUCCUCAGUCCCAAACAGCACCCUGUUCCCCAUUCCCAAACAGCACCCUGUUCCCCAUUCCCAAACAGCACCCUGUUCCCCAUUCCCAAACAGCACCCUGUUCCUCAGUCCCAAACUGCACCCUGUACCCCAGUCCCAAACAGCACCCUGUUCCCCAGUCCCAAACAG
Oncorhynchus tshawytscha (Chinook salmon) is the source of this 1241-nucleotide long non-coding RNA. The record is from Ensembl. NCBI's taxonomy places the organism in Eukaryota, Metazoa, Chordata, Actinopteri, Salmoniformes, Salmonidae.